Molecule: ribosomal RNA, 497 nt
Filed under: uncultured bacterium
Lineage: Bacteria
Description: partial 16S ribosomal RNA
Rfam family: Bacterial small subunit ribosomal RNA
Source: RNAcentral
GAUGAACGCUGGCGGCGUGCCUAAUACAUGCAAGUCGAGCGAACAGAUGAGGAGCUUGCUCCUCUGACGUUAGCGGCGGACGGGUGAGUAACACGUGGAUAACCUACCUAUAAGACUGGGAUAACUUCGGGAAACCGGAGCUAAUACCGGAUAAUAUAUUGAACCGCAUGGUUCAAUAGUGAAAGACGGUUUUGCUGUCACUUAUAGAUGGAUCCGCGCCGCAUUAGCUAGUUGGUAAGGUAACGGCUUACCAAGGCAACGAUGCGUAGCCGACCUGAGAGGGUGAUCGGCCACACUGGAACUGAGACACGGUCCAGACUCCUAAGGGAGGCAGCAGUAGGGAAUCUUCCGCAAUAGGCGAAAGCCUGACGGAGCAACGCCGCGUGAGUGAUGAAGGUCUUCGGAUCGUAAAACUCUGUUAUUAGGGAAGAACAAAUGUGUAAGUAACUAUGCACGUCUUGACGGUACCUAAUCAGAAAGCCACGGCUAACUACGUG